Molecule: ribosomal RNA, 624 nt
Filed under: uncultured Moraxellaceae bacterium
Lineage: Bacteria; Pseudomonadati; Pseudomonadota; Gammaproteobacteria; Moraxellales; Moraxellaceae
Description: bacterial SSU rRNA
Rfam family: Bacterial small subunit ribosomal RNA
Source: RNAcentral
AGAGGGUGCAAGCGUUAAUCGGAAUUACUGGGCGUAAAGCGCGCGUAGGUGGCUUAAUAAGUCAGAUGUGAAAGCCCCGGGCUUAACCUGGGAACUGCAUCUGAUACUGUUAGGCUCGAGUAUGGGAGAGGGAAGUAGAAUUUCAGGUGUAGCGGUGAAAUGCGUAGAGAUCUGAAGGAAUACCGAUGGCGAAGGCAGCUUCCUGGCCUAAUACUGACACUGAGGUGCGAAAGCGUGGGUAGCAAACAGGAUUAGAUACCCUGGUAGUCCACGCCGUAAACGAUGUCUACUAGCCGUUGGGGCCCUUGAGGCCUUAGUGGCGCAGCUAACGCAAUAAGUAGACCGCCUGGGGAGUACGGCCGCAAGGUUAAAACUCAAAUGAAUUGACGGGGGCCCGCACAAGCGGUGGAGCAUGUGGUUUAAUUCGACGCAACGCGAAGAACCUUACCUGGUCUUGACAUCCUGCGAACUUACUAGAGAUAGUUUGGUGCCUUCGGGAACGCAGUGACAGGUGCUGCAUGGCUGUCGUCAGCUCGUGUCGUGAGAUGUUGGGUUAAGUCCCGCAACGAGCGCAACCCUUUUCCUUUGUUACCAGCGGUUCGGCCGGGCACUUUAAGGAUACUG